UCCCUUGUAGCUCAGUCGGUAAAGAAUCUGCCUGCAAUGCAGGAGGCCUGGGUUCAAUUCCUGGGUUGGGAA
Molecule: transfer RNA, 72 nt
Filed under: Bos taurus (domestic cattle)
Lineage: Eukaryota; Metazoa; Chordata; Mammalia; Artiodactyla; Bovidae
Also listed under: 3 other names
Rfam family: tRNA
About the family: Transfer RNA (tRNA) molecules are approximately 80 nucleotides in length. Their secondary structure includes four short double-helical elements and three loops (D, anti-codon, and T loops). Further hydrogen bonds mediate the characteristic L-shaped molecular structure. tRNAs have two regions of fundamental functional importance: the anti-codon, which is responsible for specific mRNA codon recognition, and the 3' end, to which the tRNAs corresponding amino acid is attached (by aminoacyl-tRNA synthetases). tRNAs cope with the degeneracy of the genetic code in two manners: having more than one tRNA (with a specific anti-codon) for a particular amino acid; and 'wobble' base-pairing, i.e. permitting non-standard base-pairing at the 3rd anti-codon position.
Source: Rfam by way of RNAcentral